UGUGAACCAUACCAAACUGUUGCCUCGGCGGGGUCACGCCCCGGGUGCGUCGCAGCCCCGGAACCAGGCGCCCGCCGGAGGGACCAACCAAACUCUUUUCUGUAGUCCCCUCGCGGACGUUAUUUCUUACAGCUCUGAGCAAAAAUUCAAAAUGAAUCAAAACUUUCAACAACGGAUCUCUUGGUUCUGGCAUCGAUGAAGAACGCAGCGAAAUGCGAUAAGUAAUGUGAAUUGCAGAAUUCAGUGAAUCAUCGAAUCUUUGAACGCACAUUGCGCCCGCCAGUAUUCUGGCGGGCAUGCCUGUCCGAGCGUCAUUUCAACCCUCGAACCCCUCCGGGGGGUCGGCGUUGGGGAUCGGGAACCCCUAAGACGGGAUCCCGGCCCCGAAAUACAGUGGCGGUCUCGCCGCAGCCUCUCCUGCGCAGUAGUUUGCACAACUCGCACCGGGAGCGCGGCGCGUCCACGUCCGUAAAACACCCAACUUCUGAAAUGUUGACCUCGGAUCAGGUAGGAAUACCCGCUGAACUUAAGCAUAUCAA
This 539-nucleotide ribosomal RNA is filed under the name Trichoderma gamsii. RNAcentral's name for it is "eukaryotic LSU rRNA". The stretch from base 161 to 314 matches the Rfam family "5.8S ribosomal RNA". The record is from RNAcentral. Lineage: Eukaryota; Fungi; Ascomycota; Sordariomycetes; Hypocreales; Hypocreaceae.